RNAcentral lists this small RNA (745 nucleotides) under Pongo abelii (Sumatran orangutan). RNAcentral describes it as "retained intron". The record is from RNAcentral. Lineage: Eukaryota; Metazoa; Chordata; Mammalia; Primates; Hominidae.
AGCUGGUACGUGGCACCCCGGGAGGGAGUCUGGGAGUUCAAGAGGCUCUAUCCUGAGGCCACUGUCCCAUUUAACCUCAUGUUCUCGUAGCACAAGGUUGUGAGCUCCAUCCUGGCAUUCCGGGAGAAGGAAUGGCAGAGGCUGCAGUCAAACCCCCACCUGAAAGAGGGGUCCGUGACCUCCGUGAACCUGACUAAGCUAGAGGGUGGCGUGGCCUAUAACGUGAUACCUGCCACCAUGAGCGCCAGCUUUGACUUCCGUGUGGCACCGGAUAUGGACUUCAAGGCUUUUGAGGAGCAGCUGCAGAGCUGGUGCCAGGCAGCUGGCGAGGGGGUCACCUUAGAGUUUGCUCAGAAGUGGAUGCACCCCCAAGUGACACCUACUGAUGACUCAAACCCCUGGUGGGCAGCUUUUAGCCGGGUCUGCAAGGACAUGAAGCUUACUCUGGAGCCUGAGAUCAUGCCUGCUGCCACUGACAACCGCUAUAUCCGCGCGGUGGGGAUCCCAGCUCUAGGCUUCUCACCCAUGAACCGCACACCUGUGCUGCUGCACGACCACGAUGAACGGCUGCAUGAGGCUGUGUUCCUCCGUGGGGUGGACAUAUAUACACGCCUGCUGCCUGCCCUUGCCAGUGUGCCUGCCCUGCCCAGUGAGAGCUGAGCCCCGGAACUCCUCAACCUUUGCCCCUGGGGCUUCCAUCCCAACCAGUGCCAAGGACCUCCUCUUCCCCCUUCCAAAUAAUAAA